RNAcentral lists this ribosomal RNA (465 nucleotides) under Vreelandella stevensii. RNAcentral describes it as "partial 16S ribosomal RNA". It matches the Rfam family "Bacterial small subunit ribosomal RNA", at positions 338 to 795 of the family's 1533-position model. The record is from RNAcentral. Lineage: Bacteria; Pseudomonadati; Pseudomonadota; Gammaproteobacteria; Oceanospirillales; Halomonadaceae.
CCUACGGGUGGUUGCAGUGGGGAAUAUUGGACAAUGGGCGAAAGCCUGAUCCAGCCAUGCCGCGUGUGUGAAGAAGGCCUUCGGGUUGUAAAGCACUUUCAGUGGGGAAGAAAGCCUUGGGGCUAAUACCCUCGAGGAAGGACAUCACCCACAGAAGAAGCACCGGCUAACUCCGUGCCAGCAGCCGCGGUAAUACGGAGGGUGCGAGCGUUAAUCGGAAUUACUGGGCGUAAAGCGCGCGUAGGCGGUGUGAUAAGCCGGUUGUGAAAGCCCCGGGCUCAACCUGGGAACGGCAUCCGGAACUGUCAGGCUAGAGUGCAGGAGAGGAAGGUAGAAUUCCCGGUGUAGCGGUGAAAUGCGUAGAGAUCGGGAGGAAUACCAGUGGCGAAGGCGGCCUUCUGGACUGACACUGACGCUGAGGUGCGAAAGCGUGGGUAGCAAACAGGAUUAGCUACCCUAGUAGUC